CAAUAGCGUAUAUUAAAGUUGUUGCGGUAAAAAAGCUCGUAGUUGGAUUUCUGUUGAGAGCGACCGGUCCAUACCAUGUAUGCGUAUCUGGCUUGCUCUCGGCAUCCUCUCGAUAGACGUUACUGCGCUUGAUUGCGUGGUGCGGAUCUCGGGACUUUUACUUUGAGGAAAUUAGAGUGUUCACGGCAGGCUUUCGCCAGAAUACAUUAGCAUGGAAUAAUACUAUAGGAUCUUGGUUCUAUUUUGUUGGUUUCUAGAAUUGAGAUAAUGAUUAAUAGGGACAAUUGGGGGCCUUCGUAUCAACACGUCAGAGGUGGAAUUCUUGGAUUGUGUUGCGACGAACUACUGCGAAAGCAUUUGCCAAGGAUGUUUUCAUUGA
Molecule: ribosomal RNA, 379 nt
Filed under: uncultured eukaryote
Lineage: Eukaryota
Description: partial 18S ribosomal RNA
Rfam family: Eukaryotic small subunit ribosomal RNA
Source: RNAcentral